Molecule: ribosomal RNA, 658 nt
Filed under: uncultured bacterium
Lineage: Bacteria
Description: bacterial SSU rRNA
Rfam family: Bacterial small subunit ribosomal RNA
Source: RNAcentral
AGAGUUUGAUCAUGGCUCAGGAUGAACGCUGGCGGCGUGCCUAAUACAUGCAAGUCGAGCGGUAAGGUUCUGCACUCAGUAUUUGACGCUAGUAAGUCCUCUCGAGGAUACUGCUUGCAGCGAUUGUUCUCUAGGCUAGAGAACAUAGUCGAAUUAUGAGUGUAGAAUACACGAGCGGCGGACGGCUGAGUAACGCGUAGGAACGUACCCCAAAGUGAGGGAUAACUGCUCGAAAGAGUAGCUAAUACCGCAUGUGCUCUAAGGAGUAAAGCUUCGGCGCUUUGGGAACGGCCUGCGUAUGAUUAGCUUGUUGGUGAGGUAAAAGCUCACCAAGGCGACGAUCAUUAGCUGGUCUGAGAGGAUGAUCAGCCAGACUGGGACUGAGACACGGCCCAGACUCCUACGGGAGGCAGCAGUAGGGAAUUUUCCACAAUGGGCGAAAGCCUGAUGGAGCAACGCCGCGUGCAGGAUGAAGGCCUUAGGGUUGUAAACUGCUUUUAUAUGUGAAGAUUUUGACGGUAGCAUAUGAAUAAGGAUCGGCUAACUCCGUGCCAGCAGCCGCGGUCAUGCGGAGGAUCCAAGCGUUAUCCGGAAUUACUGGGCGUAAAGAGUUGCGUAGUGGCANUAGUAAGUAGACCAGUGAAAUUGUGUGGUCAAC